UGUAAUAUCAAAGGGGCCCGCUGACAUA
This 28-nucleotide small RNA is filed under the name Bombyx mori (domestic silkworm). RNAcentral describes it as "ovarian small RNA-35358". The record is from RNAcentral. Lineage: Eukaryota; Metazoa; Arthropoda; Insecta; Lepidoptera; Bombycidae.